Molecule: unclassified non-coding RNA, 295 nt
Filed under: Hevea brasiliensis (rubber tree)
Lineage: Eukaryota; Viridiplantae; Streptophyta; Magnoliopsida; Malpighiales; Euphorbiaceae
Source: RNAcentral
CGCCCCCAUCAGCAUCGCCGCCGGAAGCAACCGCUCGAAGUUCGGGCCGACCAGCAUGCGCGCGAUGUGCGGGAUCACGAGACCGACCCAACCGAUCACGCCGGAGAUCGCCACCACGCUCGCNNNNNNNNNNNCGAUCACGCGCAGCCGCCCGGAUUCAACGCCGAGCGAUUUGGCCUCCUCAUCGCCGAGCGAGAGCACGUUGAUCUGCCAGCGCAGCAGCACCAGCGGCACCAGGCCGAUCAGCACCGCCGGCAUGACAUUCCAGAGGUCGCCGCCGCGCACGCUGGCAAGG